UACGUAGGGUGCGAGCGUUGUCCGGAAUUAUUGGGCGUAAAGAGCUUGUAGGCGGUUUGUCGCGUCUGCUGUGAAAUCCCGAGGCUCAACCUCGGGCCUGCAGUGGGUACGGGCAGACUAGAGUGCGGUAGGGGAGAUUGGAACUCCUGGUGUAGCGGUGGAAUGCGCAGAUAUCAGGAAGAACACCGAUGGCGAAGGCAGAUCUCUGGGCCGUAACUGACGCUGAGGAGCGAAAGCAUGGGGAGCGAACAGG
This 253-nucleotide ribosomal RNA is filed under the name uncultured bacterium. Its description in RNAcentral is "partial 16S ribosomal RNA". It matches the Rfam family "Bacterial small subunit ribosomal RNA", at positions 524 to 776 of the family's 1533-position model. The record is from RNAcentral.